AGUGAACGCUGGCGGUAGGCCUAACACAUGCAAGUCGAACGGCAGCACAGUAAGAGCUUGCUCUUACGGGUGGCGAGUGGCGGACGGGUGAGGAAUACAUCGGAAUCUACUUUUUCGUGGGGGAUAACGUAGGGAAACUUACGCUAAUACCGCAUACGACCUACGGGUGAAAGCAGGGGAUCUUCGGACCUUGCGCGAUUGAAUGAGCCGAUGUCGGAUUAGCUAGUUGGCGGGGUAAAGGCCCACCAAGGCGACGAUCCGUAGCUGGCCUGAGAGGAUGAUCAGCCACACUGGAACUGAGACACGGUCCAGACUCCUACGGGAGGCAGCAGUGGGGAAUAUUGGACAAUGGGCGCAAGCCUGAUCCAGCCAUACCGCGUGGGUGAAGAAGGCCUUCGGGUUGUAAGGCCCUUUUGUUGGGAAAGAAAAGCAGCAGGUUAAUACCCCGCUGUUCUGACGGUACCCAAAGAAUAAGCACCGGCUAACUUCGUG
RNAcentral lists this ribosomal RNA (492 nucleotides) under uncultured bacterium. Its description in RNAcentral is "partial 16S ribosomal RNA". It matches the Rfam family "Bacterial small subunit ribosomal RNA", at positions 29 to 507 of the family's 1533-position model. The record is from RNAcentral.